GACGAACGCUGGCGGCGCGCUUAACACAUGCAAGUCGAGCGAUGAAACUUUAACAGAACCCUUCGGGGCGAAGAUAAAGUGGAUUAGCUGCGGACUGGUGAGUAACACGUGAGUAACCUGCCUUAGACAUUGGGAUAGCCUCGGGAAACCGGGAUUAAUACCAAAUAAAAUCAUAAUGACACAUGUCAUAACUAUCAAAACUCCGGUGGUCUAAGAUGGACUCUCGUCCCAUUAGUUAGUUGGUAGAGUAAAAGCCUACCAAGGCGACGCUGGCUAGCCGGCAUGAGAGGGUGAACGGCCACAUUGGAACUGAGCAACGGUCCAAACUCCUACGGGAGGCAGCAGUGGGGAAUAUUGCACAAUGGAGGGAACUCUGAUGCAGCGACGCCGCGUGAACGAAGAAGGCUUUCGAGUAGUAAAGUUCUUUUAUAUGGGAAGAUAAUGACGGUACCAUAAGAAAAAGCCCCGGCUAACUACGUG
This 480-nucleotide ribosomal RNA is filed under the name uncultured bacterium. RNAcentral's name for it is "partial 16S ribosomal RNA". It matches the Rfam family "Bacterial small subunit ribosomal RNA", at positions 28 to 507 of the family's 1533-position model. The record is from RNAcentral.